Myotis davidii is the source of this 452-nucleotide RNA transcript. It is a transcript of the gene named PCNA-associated factor pseudogene, with no coding region annotated. The transcript has a single exon. The record is from RefSeq and is a predicted model, not a curated record. Lineage: Eukaryota; Metazoa; Chordata; Mammalia; Chiroptera; Vespertilionidae.
UGUCCACUGAGACACCCUCCGUGGGAAAGUUAGUGGUUGCUCUCAUCUUCUCGUGUCUGAACAUGGUGCGGACUAGAGCAGACAGUUUCCUGGGCACCUACAGAAAAGUGGUGGCUGCCCGAGCCCCCAGGAAAGUGCUUGGUUCCUCCACCUCUGCCACUAACUUCACUUCACCUUCCUGGAGGAAAGCUGAAAAUAAGUAUGCAAGAGGGAAUCCAGUUUGUGUGCGCCCAACUCCCAAAAGGCAAAAAGGAAUUGGAGAGUUCUUCAGACUGUCCCUAAAGAUUCUGAUAGAGAAUCAGAUUCCUGUAGAGGCAGGAAGCAGUGGUUUAGGAAAAGGAAAGAGAAAAGUACAUUCUUUGCCACCUGAUGACACAGAUGAAAAAAAAAUAGAACUUUCUUAUUCAUCCUUGGCUAAUGUCUCCUGUUUACUCUGGUAUCCUAGGAUGUAA